UGGUUCUGGCAUCGAUGAAGAACGCAGCGAAAUGCGAUAAGUAAUGUGAAUUGCAGAAUUCAGUGAAUCAUCGAAUCUUUGAACGCACAUUGCGCCUCUUGGUAUUCCUUGAGGCAUGCCUGUUCGAGCGUCGUUAAGGUCAUAAGGCUUUGCCUUGCGUUGGACUAGUCCGGCACCUGCCAGGCAGGGUCGGAGGUCCCAAAACGAUUGGCGUUGAAGUCUGCCAGUGUUGCACCCUCGUGCUGCAUCUAGAAGAUGGAGAUAGCCCCCAGCUCAAAACAAGAUCAAUAUGGUCGACCUCGGAUCAGGCAAGACUACCCGCUGA
This 325-nucleotide unclassified non-coding RNA is filed under the name uncultured fungus. RNAcentral's name for it is "partial contains 5.8S ribosomal RNA and internal transcribed spacer 2". The stretch from base 1 to 133 matches the Rfam family "5.8S ribosomal RNA", at positions 22 to 154 of the family's 154-position model. Lineage: Eukaryota; Fungi. The record is from RNAcentral.